GCGGAUGGCCGGAUGGCCGCGUGCCCGCCAACGGGUGCGAGGAAAGUCCGGACUCCAUGAAGCAAAGGUGCCGGGUAACGCCCGGCCGGGGCAACCCGAGGGAAAGCGCCACAGAGAACAGACCGCCAUGCCUGCAUGGCAAGGGUGAAACGGUGGGGUAAGAGCCCACCGCGGACCGGGUAACCGGGACGGCACGGCAAGCCCCACCUGGAGCAAUGCCGAAUAGGGACCUCAUGCCGGGGCUGAUCCCACAGGGAUAUCGCCGCAGGGCCGCUUCAGCCCGAGGUCCGGGUUGGCAGCCAGACCCUGUCGGCAACGACAGGGCCAGAUGAAUGGUCAUCGCCGGGGCAACCCGGAACAGAAUCCGGCUUACAGGCCAUCCGCGCAA
RNAcentral lists this RNase P RNA (388 nucleotides) under Rhabdonatronobacter sediminivivens. RNAcentral's name for it is "Bacterial RNase P class A". It matches the Rfam family "Bacterial RNase P class A". From Rfam's summary of the family: Ribonuclease P (RNase P) is a ubiquitous endoribonuclease, found in archaea, bacteria and eukarya as well as chloroplasts and mitochondria. Its best characterised activity is the generation of mature 5'-ends of tRNAs by cleaving the 5'-leader elements of precursor-tRNAs. Lineage: Bacteria; Pseudomonadati; Pseudomonadota; Alphaproteobacteria; Rhodobacterales; Paracoccaceae. The record is from Rfam by way of RNAcentral.